This 380-nucleotide ribosomal RNA is filed under the name uncultured eukaryote. RNAcentral's name for it is "SSU rRNA". It matches the Rfam family "Eukaryotic small subunit ribosomal RNA", at positions 587 to 972 of the family's 1831-position model. The record is from RNAcentral.
AGCUCCAAUAGCGUAUAUUAAAGUUGUUGCGGUUAAAAGCUCGUAGUUGGAUUUCUGUUGAGGAUGGGCGGUCCGCACUUCGUGCGUGUAUCUGUUUUGUCCUUGGCAUCCUUUCAAGGAACGUAACUGUGCUUAAUUGCAUGGUGCGGUACUUGAAACUUUUACUUUGAGGAAAUUAGAGUGUUCACGGCAGGCUAACGCCUUGAAUAUAUUAGCAUGGAAUAAUAAUAUAGGAUCUUGGGUCUAUUUUGUUGGUUUCUAGAGCUAAGAUAAUGAUUAAUAGGGACAAUUGGGGGCAUUCGUAUUAACACGUCAGAGGUGGAAUUCUUGGAUUGUGUUACGACGAACUACUGCGAAAGCAUUUGCCAAGGAUGUUUUCA